Non-coding RNA from Plectropomus leopardus (leopard coralgrouper), 169 nucleotides. The record is from RefSeq and is a predicted model, not a curated record. Lineage: Eukaryota; Metazoa; Chordata; Actinopteri; Perciformes; Serranidae.
GGAGUAUCCAGGAAGUCAGACGGCUGGGUGGGGCUGGGUUGCUGUGAGCUGGCUAUCUCAGCUGAGUGUCGCAGGGAAUGCAGACAGGCAUCGUCUAAAAAUGAUAUAACAAAAGUAUGCAAAAAAGUCACAGAGAACUCGCUCUACAGCUGCAUCUCCAAAAAUGAAA